Humulus lupulus (European hop) is the source of this 221-nucleotide long non-coding RNA. RefSeq lists it as uncharacterized. The record is from RefSeq and is a predicted model, not a curated record. NCBI's taxonomy places the organism in Eukaryota, Viridiplantae, Streptophyta, Magnoliopsida, Rosales, Cannabaceae. The transcript is spliced from 2 exons.
GUACGAACUUUGUGCUGUGUAUGUUAUAGCUGGUUCAAAGGCAUCUCAGCGGUAUUCGCCUUCUGGUUUCUUCUUUGGCGUAUCAGCAAUUGCCUUAGCAAUUAACAUGCUCUUUAUCUGUAGAAUGGUGUUUAAUGGAAACGGCUUAGAUGUGGAUGAGUAUGUAAGGAAGGCAUACAAAUUUGCCUAUUCCGAUUGUAUAGAAGUGGGUCCUGUGGCUU